GCAGUAAUAAACCUCAUGUGGCACUAAUAAUGCCAAGGUCACGGGUUCAAUCCCUGCUCACUGCA
This 65-nucleotide transfer RNA is filed under the name Pelecanus crispus (Dalmatian pelican). It matches the Rfam family "tRNA". Rfam says of the family: Transfer RNA (tRNA) molecules are approximately 80 nucleotides in length. Their secondary structure includes four short double-helical elements and three loops (D, anti-codon, and T loops). Further hydrogen bonds mediate the characteristic L-shaped molecular structure. tRNAs have two regions of fundamental functional importance: the anti-codon, which is responsible for specific mRNA codon recognition, and the 3' end, to which the tRNAs corresponding amino acid is attached (by aminoacyl-tRNA synthetases). tRNAs cope with the degeneracy of the genetic code in two manners: having more than one tRNA (with a specific anti-codon) for a particular amino acid; and 'wobble' base-pairing, i.e. permitting non-standard base-pairing at the 3rd anti-codon position. The record is from Rfam by way of RNAcentral. Lineage: Eukaryota; Metazoa; Chordata; Aves; Pelecaniformes; Pelecanidae.